This is a ribosomal RNA of 101 nucleotides. It matches the Rfam family "Bacterial small subunit ribosomal RNA", at positions 1 to 97 of the family's 1533-position model.
UUUUAUGGAGAGUUUGAUCCUGGCUCAGGACGAACGCUGGCGGCGUGCUUAACACAUGCAAGUCGAACGGAAAGGCCUCUUGCUUGCAAGGGGUACUCGAG